RNAcentral lists this ribosomal RNA (460 nucleotides) under uncultured bacterium. Its description in RNAcentral is "partial 16S ribosomal RNA". It matches the Rfam family "Bacterial small subunit ribosomal RNA", at positions 338 to 795 of the family's 1533-position model. The record is from RNAcentral.
CCUACGGGGGGCAGCAGUGAGGAAUAUUGGUCAAUGGACGAGAGUCUGAACCAGUCAAGUAGCGUGAAGGAUGACUGCCCUAUGGGUUGUAAACUUCUUUUAUAUGGGAAUAAAAUGUUCCACGUGUGGGAUUUUGUAUGUACCAUAUGAAUAAGGAUCGGCUAACUCCGUGCCAGCAGCCGCGGUAAUACGGAGGAUCCGAGCGUUAUCCGGAUUUAUUGGGUUUAAAGGGAGCGUAGGUGGAUUGUUAAGUCAGUUGUGAAAGUUUGCGGCUCAACCGUAAAAUUGCAGUUGAAACUGGCAGUCUUGAGUACAGUAGAGGUGGGCGGAAUUCGUGGUGUAGCGGUGAAAUGCUUAGAUAUCACGAAGAACUCCGAUUGCGAAGGCAGUUCACUGGACUGCAACUGACACUGAGGCUCGAAAGUGUGGGUAUCAAACAGGAUUAGAUACCCGUGUAGUC